RNA transcript from Strongylocentrotus purpuratus (purple sea urchin), 4668 nucleotides. It is a transcript of the gene named protein cycle, with no coding region annotated. NCBI's taxonomy places the organism in Eukaryota, Metazoa, Echinodermata, Echinoidea, Camarodonta, Strongylocentrotidae. The transcript is spliced from 16 exons. The record is from RefSeq and is a predicted model, not a curated record.
CUAAUCAUCAUAUCAAUCAUAUGACGGCGUUACGAGGUCCGAGGAAAAGAAAUAAAAAUAUAACGAUCCAGUUUGGGCAUAUGCAUGUAGGCAGCCUUGGUCUUAAUACAAGAGGUCUGUGCGUGGACUUAAAGUUUACGGUCCAGGUCUUAAUCUUGGUCCAUCUUCCUCAGAGCCUUGGUCUACUCAGGGUAGGAACGAGAAGAUGAGUAUCUCCAGCAUGUCUAGCAGCAUGGAUAGGAAGAGAAAGCUGAGCUUUAUCGAUUCAGGAGGGGAGGACAUGAGCGAUGAAGAUUUAUCAAGUGAAAGAAACACCUCAGGAGAUGACAGCAAAAAGCUCUCAAAGCAGAAUCAUAGCGAGAUUGAGAAGAGACGACGAGAGAAGAUGAAUACCUACAUACAGGAACUGAGUGCUAUGGUACCUACAUGUAGUUCAAUGUCAUCCAAGCUUGAUAAACUUACUAUACUACGAAUGGCUGUACAACAUAUGAAAACGUUGAGAGGGGCUUCAAGUUCUCGUAAAGAAGCAAACUACAAGCCAUCUUUCUUGUCAGAAGAUGACCUUAAUCCUCUUAUUCUGGAGGCUGCUGAGGGAUUUCUCUUUGUCGUAAGCUGUGACCGUGGGCGGGUGCUUUACGUUUCUGAGUCCGUACUCAACGUCCUCAAUAUAACAUGGGAACGUUUGAUUGGUCAGAGUCUCUUCGAUAUCCUUCAUCCUAAAGACAUCCCAAAGGUCAAAGAGCAACUCUCAUCAUCUGACCUUUCACCUCGAGAACGCUUCAUUGAUACCAAGACCGGUAUGUUGGUGAAAUCUGAGAUGACGAUGUCUCCUCCUCAGCUGUCCUCCGGAGCACGUCGUUCAUUCUUCUGCAGGAUGAGGAUAUAUAGCCCCGAGCAUGCGGUCAAGACGGAGGAUGGUCAGCAGUGGAAACGACUCAAGCAACCAGCAGAUCGUAAGAAGUAUGCAACGAUACACUGUACAGGUUACUUGAAGAGCUGGCCUCCAGGGAAGGUGGGGUUAGACAAGGAUGAGAUGGAGGUGGAUAUCGAUGGUUGUAAUCUUAGCUGUCUGGUUGCAGUAGCCAGAGUACAGACUAUUCAAAGCCCGAUGCUUUCCACCAACAAUAACAUUCAACUCAAACCCAUUGAAUUUGUCUCAAGGCAUGCUAUGGACGGCAAGUACACCUUCGUAGAUCAAAGGGCGACUGCUGUAAUGGGAUAUCUACCUCAGGAACUUUUGGGUACCUCAUGUUAUGAGUACUAUCACAUAGAUGAUAUAUCUAGCAUGGCAGAGUAUCAUAAAACAGUGUUGUCAAGUAAAGAGAAGAUCCUUACAACUUCUUAUCGCUUCCGAGCUAAGAACGGCGACUUUAUCCUUCUCCGAUCCCGAAUGUUCACCUUUCGCAAUCCGUGGACCAAAGAGAUUGAAUAUGUCGUCUCUACAAAUACAUUAGUAAACAAAGACGAAGCGGUUGCGUCUAACAGCAAUGAAUGCGGUCCUACUACCAAGGACCAAGACUCUUCGCAGCUGCAGUCUCUGAUCACCAACUUGAGCAAGUCGGCAGCUAUCCCUGGUGUAGCUACCAACAACACUCAUAUGGGAGCAGGCAAGAUUGGAUGGAAGAUAGCUGAAGAGGUCAUAGAAGCUGAAAGAGUGAACGAAGUAACAUCGAGUGGUUGGGAGUCCAAGGAUGCCAGCCCUGUCGUGGUAGAUUCUCUAGGCAUCACUGGAGAAGCUGUAUCAUCCAUAGGAUCUGAUAGCAACAAGGGAUCUUCAAGGGAGGUCCACAGCAGCAGCAGCAAUCCUAAACCAGACAAGCUGCCUCCUGCCAUCGUCAUGACAGGACAGUCCUUCCUCAACAGUGCGUUAGUAUGUGGUGAUCAGACGGGUAGCAGUGGGAACCUACCCCAGAAUCCCUUUGCAGAGAUGUCAUCCGCUGCUGGGUUAUCAACGGCAGCACUCGCUGCGGAACUGAGCACACCAGGUGCUGCUGCAGCCGCGGCGGCCAAGGUCAAAGAGAUGGGUGGUGAUGAUGAAGCCGCGAUGGCCUUUAUUAUGAGCUUGUUAGAGGCCGAUGCCGGGCUGGGUGGAUCGGUAGACUUCAACGAUCUACCCUGGCCCCUAUGAUCAGAUAGAAAUCUUCUGUUUGUCCAAACAAACUUGCCUUGAACUGGCCUCUAUUAUCAGAUAGAAAUCUUCUGUGUUUGUCCAAACAAACUUGCCUUGAACUGGCCUCUAUUAUCAGAUAGAAAUCUUCUGUGUUUGUCCAAACAAACUUGCCUUGUACUGAAGCCAAGCUGUCGUACCUUUGAGCGUCCUAGUGAGUCUUGAAUGAAUGUCUAGGAAACACCCAACAUGUGCUUAGCAGUAGUCACCGUGAUGAACCUGAGGAAGGAGAUAUUGCUCAAUGUGUGCCUUCAGACAUGCCUCGUUUCUCAUAAUUUGUGUGUUCUAGUCAAGGACCCUAACAAAGACCCUAUAUCAGUGUAUAGCAUCUGGAUGAGUGGAAGUAUCCCAAGUAACUGACCGCCCUUUCCCAUAGCACUUUGCAGAUCAACCUUCCUCCAAGUUAGAGUGUGUGUAUUUGGUUUUCACAGAUGUGUAUCAAUCAGAUAUGAUUAUUUACGUCUGGGGACCGACCUUUAAACGUCACCAUCCGAAAGACGUGAUUCAGUUUCGAACCUUCGUCCUUGUCUGAAUCAGUUUAUAACUUCCACUGUUAGCUGGAUUACAGGCGCACGCCACAACGCCUAGACCCCACAUCCAAACAUCUUUAUACCAGAGGAGUUCUCUGACUGCCUUAUUCUAUUGAAUGAAUUUAUUCUGCGAGAAAAAAAAUUGAUGUAGAUAACUAUCUUAAAUGUUGCACUUGAUUACUAGUACCUGUAUAUGAAAGUCACCAUUUGUUAUAUGUCUUCAUGUAAUGCGUCAAGCAAUCGGUUAAUCUUGAGGAAGGGAUAUCAUCAUGGUAAUGGCAUACCGUGAAGUGAUGGAGUUUCUGUCAUAUAGGAACUUUGGAAUGGCUAUUAUGGAACAGAAGAUCAGUGGCCCGUUUCACAAAGCCUUUUUUCAAUGACAAAUGAAAAAAAAUCAGUGACAAAUCUGUUGGUAACCAAUCAGAAGCAAGGAUUUCAGUAGCUUAUAACAAAAAUUGUCAUUUGUCACUGAUGACAAGUUUUGUGAAACAACCCCCAGGUGUGGCUAUAUAUGUGAGAGUGAACAAUCAUAAACAUUGGAUCAACACAGCUGCCUAAGUGCCUAAAUCGAAUGUGGACGAGAAUGGGGCGGUGUAAGGCCAACAUGGCAAGAUGGGGCUAUGCCAAUGAAGAAGAUACUCUCUGCGACUGUGGAGAGACUCAGACGAUGGACCACAUCUUGCAGUGCGGCAGAACGGGUUGCACAGAUGAAGACCAGGCCCUUGUAAAUGAGACGACCAUCGCAGCCAUCGGGCGAUGGAAGAACUUAUUUAAUUUAAUUUAAUUUAGGAACUGCACAUUAAUCUUGAUUGAAGGAGACACGAACCAACGAUCACAGCUGCCAACCAUUCCUAUUCUGGAGGAAUGGUUCCUAUUUUCUUUGGCCCUCAAACUACUAUUGUGAUCCCUAGCUCAGUCAGUAAAGCAGUGGUCUUGAAAUCCGGUAACCCGGGUUGGAAACCAGGUCGGUAUGCCUAGUGGCCUUUGGUAAGGCAUUAAUCCUCAUUACCAGGUCCCUUCGAGAGGACCUAAAGUCUUCGGUCCUCUGGUUGCUUACUAACAAGCAUUUAUGCUUUCUUAGCAGUCAGGUAAAAUAACAACCACCACCAUAAGUACCUCUAUCUUCCUGAAAACUUGUGUGUAAAAAGUAUACGAAAGAGAGACUCAUUGCAUGAUUCCUCACCUUUGCUGUGAAUGAUAGGUAGGCAUCGUUCUCACUUGGCAUCAGGUAUCCACCCAAGGUCUUCAUUGGAUGAAUGGAACCUUUCACACAGGGUCAGAAUGUUCCUUCACGCCACCCUCAUCAGGCAUCAGUAAAUUGACAUGAGGAAGUCCACGUCUCCUUUACAUAAGCGAAAGCACUUGGAAUAUACCUCCGUAUUGAAAGACGUGUACACAAAAUUACCAAGUUAUAUUCAUAUACGCUCUUUGGUCGUUCUACGCACAUAAAUUGUUUGAUAUAUUCAGUGUGUGGGCCCAGUUGUGACAAGUAUAUUGCCUUAAAGAUAUUUUAUGUCCUCACAUCGCCAUUGAAGUAUCUACAUGUAAAAUCAAUGCAAAGGUUGCGGAUGAUAUUUGUGUAUGUACAUGUAUUUUUGUUUGUCCAUAGAUCGCACAAACAGCCUUUCACAUUCAUACUCUUGAAAUACAGGGAUGAAAUUGGAUGUCUGUGAUUUAUUGUCAAUUCAGAUCAGGGGGGCGUUUCACAAAACUUGUCAUCAGUGACCAAUGACAGUUUUUGUCAUUUGUCAUUGAAAAAAGGCUUUGUGAAACGGGUCCCAGUUGUGACUUGUUUUAAUAUAAGACUGGGUCUGGGUGAAUUGCUAACCAGUAUUGAGAUCUGGUUUCAGAAGUUCUCUGCUGUUGGGAAUUUGUCUUUUUCCUUCUUCUUUAUCUUCUUCUUAUUCGUCUUCGUGUUCUUCUUCCACCUCCUUUUUCUUCCUCCUCCUCUGCAUAACAUAAUAUGUUAUU